This 403-nucleotide ribosomal RNA is filed under the name uncultured bacterium. RNAcentral's name for it is "bacterial SSU rRNA". It matches the Rfam family "Bacterial small subunit ribosomal RNA", at positions 355 to 775 of the family's 1533-position model. The record is from RNAcentral.
UAGGGAAUAUUAGUAAUGGGCGAAAGCCUGAACUAGCAACGCCGCGCGUGCGAAGAAGGCCUUCGGGUCGUAAAGCACUUUUUGAGAGGAUGAGGAAGGACGGUACUCUCAGAAUAAGUCUCGGCUAACUACGUGCCAGCAGCCGCGGUAACACGUAGGAGGCAAACGUUAUCUGGAUUUACUGGGCGUAAAGCGCGUGUAGGUGGUUUGGUAAGUAGGGCGUGAAAGCUCCUGGCUCAACUGGGAGAGGACGUUCUAAACUGCCAAGCUUGAGGAUGGUAGAGGGAGGUGGAAUUCCGGGUGGAGCGGUGGAAUGCGCAGAUAUCCGGAGGAACACCAGUGGCGAAGGCGGCCUCCUGGACCACUCCUGACAAUCAGACGCGACAGCUAGGGUAGCAAACGG